CACGUAGGGCGCAAGCGUUGUCCGGAAUUAUUGGGCGUAAAGAGCUCGUAGGCGGUCUGUUGCGUCUGCUGUGAAAACUCGGGGCUUAACCCCGAGCCUGCAGUGGAUACGGGCAGCUAGAGGUAGGUAGGGGGAGAAUGGAAUUCCCGGUGUAGCGGUGAAAUGCGCAGAUAUCGGGAGGAACACCGGUGGCGAAGGCGGUUCUCUGGGCCUUACCUGACGCUGAGGAGCGAAAGCGUGGGGGAGCGAACAGG
This 254-nucleotide ribosomal RNA is filed under the name uncultured bacterium. RNAcentral's name for it is "partial 16S ribosomal RNA". It matches the Rfam family "Bacterial small subunit ribosomal RNA", at positions 524 to 776 of the family's 1533-position model. The record is from RNAcentral.